This 69-nucleotide transfer RNA is filed under the name Odorrana schmackeri (piebald odorous frog). RNAcentral describes it as "tRNA-Gly". The record is from RNAcentral. Lineage: Eukaryota; Metazoa; Chordata; Amphibia; Anura; Ranidae. RNAcentral also lists the same sequence under 1 other name.
AUUUCCUUAGUAUAGUUAAUACGAGUAACCUCCAAUUAUUUAACCUUGGUGAAACCCCAAGAGGAGAUA